Non-coding RNA from Rattus norvegicus (Norway rat), 1062 nucleotides. Lineage: Eukaryota; Metazoa; Chordata; Mammalia; Rodentia; Muridae. The record is from RefSeq and is a predicted model, not a curated record.
ACUCUUUGUGGUACUUUAAUUUCCUUCAACCAUGUUUUUUUCAGAGAAGGAAACAGGUGGUUGAGGAGCAUGAUUAAAUUUAAUGGUAGCCAUGGGGCUGGAGAAAUGGCUCAUCAGUUAAGGGUACUGGUUGCUCUUCCAGAAGACUGGGUUUGAUUCCCAGAAUCCGCAGAUGUGGGCUCACAACCGCCUGCAAUACAAUGCCGUCUUCUGACCAUGAGGGCAUGAGAUACUUAUGUGAUACAUAGGCCCAUGCAGGUAAAACACAAUGCUCUCCCCAAGAGCCAUAAACUCUCUAACAAAAUCCCUAACACGAGGUGUAAGAAUCCCUCUUUUGAGAGUCAUGGUUUCCUAGAGAGACUUCCACAUCAUUCUUGGAAUGCUGGCUAUUGUUCCGUUCGGUUGCACCCGGAAGUGGAAGGUAAAUCUCUGCUGCUGAAGACGCCAUGCAUUUUUGACACAGGACCCGGAGGAUAUGAGCUAGAUCUGAUCUUAAAGCCUUCUCCUUGAAGAUUAGUCUUCAUGUCGCCAGAAAGCACCAUGCAAAAUUCCCAAGGAGGGACGCAACCAGCUACGAUACUAAUGAGCAAGAACAGCAACCAGCAUGUCAUCGUACCCUUAAGUUCUCCUACAGCAAGACGGGAGAUGACAACCAGAUUAUCUCUGGAAGCUCGAAAGCCUGGCAUACUCAGGGGCAAACAGAACUCAAGUAAGGUAAUAAGACCCGUACCAACCCCCCCAAAUGUCCUUAAGCCAAAAAGGAAGAGCUAUGUGAUGCUGACGUAAGAGAAGACAGAGAUCUGAGGAACCCUCUGCUGCGAACACUCUCCUCCCCUGAGCUGGUAGCCCUGGGCUAAGCUCUGUGACUCAAGACAAGUGGCCACAUUGACAAGCUGAGAUUCUAGAACCCACCCAGGCUCCAACAAGGACUAAGUUAAGUAAUGUUAAAUGAUGCACCUUAUGGCCUUGGAAGAACAAGAACACACCAAAACCAACAGCAACAGAUUUAAAGAAAUAACAUCUGACAGAAAUUAAUUAAAGAGAAAAAAAAUAUCAACAAAA